Molecule: ribosomal RNA, 253 nt
Filed under: uncultured bacterium
Lineage: Bacteria
Description: partial 16S ribosomal RNA
Rfam family: Bacterial small subunit ribosomal RNA
Source: RNAcentral
UACGUAGGGUGCAAGCGUUGUCCGGAAUUAUUGGGCGUAAAGAGCUCGUAGGCGGUCUGUCGCGUCUGCUGUGAAAACUCGGGGCUUAACCCCGGGCCUGCAGUGGGUACGGGCAGACUAGAGUGCGGUAGGGGAGAAUGGAAUUCCCGGUGUAGCGGUGAAAUGCGCAGAUAUCGGGAGGAACACCGGUGGCGAAGGCGGUUCUCUGGGCCUUACCUGACACUGAGGAGCGAAAGCGUGGGGAGCGAACAGG